RNAcentral lists this ribosomal RNA (3906 nucleotides) under Triticum aestivum (bread wheat). RNAcentral's name for it is "partial small subunit ribosomal RNA". The record is from RNAcentral. Lineage: Eukaryota; Viridiplantae; Streptophyta; Magnoliopsida; Poales; Poaceae.
AUGAUGGCCGCGCCGGCCGCCUCCCCGGCGGCGCGAUCGCGCGGCAAUGCCGCCGGCGGCGGCGGCAGCGCCACGUCGACGAUGCUCCCGGGCCCGGCCAGCCGCGGCAACGGCGGCUGCAUCGACCUCAGCACCUCGGGCCUCCUCGCGCACGGCGCCGGCAGCAGCGUCGUCGUCUCCGACCCGCGCUCCAUGCAGCUCGUCUGCGUCCUCCCCAUGCCCUCCUCCUCCGCCACCUCGCCCGCCUCCUUCGUCACCGCCGUGCGCUGGGCGCCCGCGGCCAGCGCCUCCUCCCUCGCCGCCGCCGAGGACGCCGCCGGCGCCGAGGACGACCACCGCCCGCUCCGCCUCGCCGCCGGCGACCGCCACGGCCGCAUCGCCGUCUGGGACGCCCGCGCGCGCGCCGUGCUGCGCCUGCUCAGCCUCGACGAGUCCCGCAGCGUCGCGCCCGGCACCAGCGGGGGCGUCCAGGACCUCUGCUGGAUCCACCACGCCUCCGGCUGGCUCCUCGCCUCCAUCCACGGGCCCUCGCUGCUCUGCAUCUGGGAGACCAGCAACAACCCCCGCGUGCUCUGGAUGUUCGACGCCUCGCCCGAGUACCUCUCCUGCCUCCGCCGGGACCCCUUCGACGACCGCCACCUCUGCGCCCUAGGUCUCAAGGGCUUCCUCCUCUCCGCUGUACCACGGCAUGACUCCGACAUCUCGUUGAAGGAGCAUAGGAUCGUUUGCGGCGCCGGGGACGUGGCAGAGCUGCAGAGGCUGGAGAAGGAGAUAUCAGCGCCGGCGCCAGCCCCGGCGCUCGCGGCUUUCCCGCUCUUUGCGGCAAGGCUGUGCUUCUCCCCACUGUGGAGACACAUCCUAUAUGCCGUGUACCCUCGGGAGCUUGUCGUCUUUGAACUUAACUACAGCAUUGCGCUCUCUGUUGCUUCAUUGCCAAGGGGGUUCGGCAAGUUCACGGAUGUUAUGGCCGAUACUGAUCUUGACCUGCUCUAUUGCACGCAUGCUGAUGGCAAGCUGAGCAUCUGGAAGCGCAAGGAGGGUGAACAAGUACAUUUGUUGCAUGCAGUGGAAGAGCUCAUGCCUUCAAUUGGUACCGUUGUUCCUCCCCCAGCCGUUCUUGCUACUACGAUCUGGCAGUCAGAGUCCAUUUUUCGUAUCAUCGACAGACAAUCUCAGGAUUUGGCACUUAUGCAAUCUUCACAGUCUAUCAUCUUUGAUACAAAGUCGAACCAGAACAUGUAUCGAGGGACCAUGACAUAUCUAACAUCGAUAUCUGAAGAUGGCAAGAUCUGGUCAUGGCAUUUGACUUUUGACAAGUCAGUAUCUUCCAAGAAAAUUAAUCUAGGUACAUCGAACCAUAGUGAUGCUGGAACUUCCAACCCACGCUCCAAUGGGCUUGAUUUUACAAUAAAGAUUACUUUGAUGGGCCAGCUUCAUCUUUUGUCGUCUACUGUGACUACUCUAGCUGUGCCAUCUCCUUCUUUACUUGCCACAGUAGCCCGUGGUGGAAACAAUCCUGCUCCAGCAGUACCACUUGUUGCUCUAGGAACUCAAAAUGGGACCAUUGAAGUUGUUGACGUAUUGGCUAAUGCAGUUUCUGUCAGCUUUGCUGUUCAUAGCAGCACAGUCAGAGGCUUAAGAUGGCUUGGAAACUCACGCCUUGUUUCCUUCUCAUAUAAUCAGGUUAGUGAUAAGAGUGGAGGAUUCAAUAAUAAGCUUAUUAUCACAUGCCUGAGAAGUGGGCUAAAUCGCCCAUUCCGUGUGCUCCAAAAGCCUGAACGUGCAGCAAUAAGAGCAUUGAGGGCAUCUUCGUCUGGAAGGUACCUUCUGAUUAUGUUUCGUGAUGCUCCUGUUGAAGUGUGGGCCAUGACAAAGAACCCGAUGAUGCUUAGAUCCUUGGCUCUUCCUUUUACGGUGUUAGAAUGGACACUGCCAGCGGCACCACGACCAAGUCAGAAUGCAUCUAAGCAAUCGUCUCCCUCCAAAGAGGGUACUGCUGCAGAAAGUUCUGAUGAAACAUCCGAAAGUUUUGCUUUUGCGUUAGUCAAUGGUGCUCUUGGUGUGUUUGAAGUGCACGGACGGCGAAUACGAGAUUUUAGGCCAAAGUGGCCGUCAUCAUCAUUUGCCUCUUCAGAUGGCCUGGUUACUGCUAUGGCUUAUCGUCUUCCCCAUGUUGUGAUGGGGGAUAGAUCCGGCAACAUUCGAUGGUGGGACGUUAUAACAGGCCUUUCUUCUUCUUUUAGCACCCACAGGGAAGGCAUUAGGAGGAUUAAGUUUUCUCCUGUUGUUCACGGUGAUCGGAGUAGAGGACGCAUUGCUGUGCUCUUCUAUGAUAAUACAUUCUCUAUAUUUGACCUGGAUAGUGCAGAUCCCUUGGCAAAUGCCCUUCUCCAUCCACAAUCUCCUGGCACACUCGUCUUGGAGCUUGAUUGGUUAUCAACCCGAACAAGGAAGGAUGAACCACUUGUAUUAUGCAUCGCUGGAGCUGAUAGUAGCUUUCGUCUGGUUGAAGUUAACACUGAUACCAAGAUCAAUUCUGCUUCUAGGCUGCUGACUACAAAAGAGAGAUUUAGGCCAAUGCCAUUAUGCCUACCAAUACUAUUCCCCACAGCACAUGCUUUGGCUCUGCGUAUGAUUCUGCAGCUCGGUGUGAAGCCUUCUUGGUUUGAAUGCAAUAAUAGUGAUAAAUUAGCCUCUAACAGCUUUAAGGAAGGACCGUCAACCUUUGGGGAUCUUCGUUCAUACAUGAUUGAGACAACACUUCCUCCUAUUGGUGAUUCUGUAGUGGCUGAAUUGCUGCUUAAAGUGUUGGAGCCAUACAGAAAGGAUGGUUGCAUCCUUGAUGAUGGAAGAGCCAGCUUAUAUUCAGCUAUAGUAAAUAAAGGAACUUGUGCAAGGUUUGCAUUUGCUGCUGCUAUUUUUGGUGAUUUCCAAGAAGCACUUUUCUGGUUACAGCUUCCGCAAGCCCUUCAGCAUUCCCUGGAUAAAUCGACAAGUAGAUCAAGUGAGGGCUUCGAAUCAAGUGUACGCGCUGAUUCUGAACAAACUUCCACAUUAAACAGGAUAGCUUCAAGCGAGAGGUCUGCAGCCAGAAAUGCGGCCAAUGAUACUGCGAGUUAUGGGCAAUUAAGUACAAUGGCAUUUAAGCAAGAGCAAUUGUGGUUCAAUGCGAAUGAAAGGAUACCUUGGCAUGACAAGCUUGAUAGUGAAGAUGCUUUGCAAAAGCGUAUUCAUGAGCUUGUCUCUCUUGGAAAUUUGGAAGCUGCGGUGUCCUUGCUACUUUCAACUCCUCCUGAAGGAACAAAUUUUUAUCCUAAUGCAUUAAGAGCAGUUGUAUUGUCAUCUGCAGUGUCAAGAUCUUUACAUGAACUUGCAGUGAAGGUCGUUGCAGCCAAUAUGGUUAGAACAGACAAAUCAUUAUCUGGAACACAUCUUCUGUGUGCAGUGGGGAAAUAUCAGGAAGCAUGCUCUCAGCUUCAAGAUGCUGGUUGCUGGAUUGAUGCUGCUACUUUGGCUGCAACUCAUUUGCGUGGAUCUGACUACGCAAGGGUACUGCAGAGGUGGGCUGGUUUUGUUCUUCGUGGUGAACAAAAUAUGUGGAGAGCUCUAAUACUAUAUGUUGCUGCUGGAGCACUCCCGGAGGCUUUAGAGACGCUCCGCAGCAACCAGCGACAAGACACUGCCGCUCUGUUCUUGCUUGCCUGCCAUGAGAUCUAUUCACAAAUUACCACAGAGUCUAAGCCUGCGGAUGAGAUGCCUGGAUCAGCAACGGAGCGGAGUCAAAAGCUCCUGUUCCCAUCCAAGAAUGUGAGUGAUGAGAACCUGACCGCGGUCAGCGAGGUCUUCGGGCAGUACCAGCAGAAACUGAUUCAUCUUUGCAUGGAUAUGGAACCAAUUGUGAACUGA